UUGAUUUUAGUUAUUUGUGAAGGUACUACGAACUUAACAAACAAUAUCUAUAGUCAAAAAAAAAUAAAUCA
RNAcentral lists this unclassified non-coding RNA (71 nucleotides) under soil metagenome. RNAcentral's name for it is "partial internal transcribed spacer 1". The record is from RNAcentral.